UACGUAGGUGGCAAGCGUUAUCCGGAUUUACUGGGUGUAAAGGGAGCGUAGACGGCAAUACAAGUCGGAAGUGAAAUACCCGGGCUCAACCUGGGAACUGCUUUGGAAACUGUAUGGCUGGAGUGCUGGAGAGGUAAGCGGAAUUCCUAGUGUAGCGGUGAAAUGCGUAGAUAUUAGGAGGAACACCAGUGGCGAAGGCGGCUUACUGGACAGUAACUGACGUUGAGGCUCGAAAGCGUGGGGAGCAAACAGG
This 253-nucleotide ribosomal RNA is filed under the name uncultured bacterium. RNAcentral's name for it is "partial 16S ribosomal RNA". It matches the Rfam family "Bacterial small subunit ribosomal RNA", at positions 524 to 776 of the family's 1533-position model. The record is from RNAcentral.